UGGGGAAUAUUGCACAAUGGGCGCAAGCCUGAUGCAGCCAUGCCGCGUGUGUGAAGAAGGCCUUCGGGUUGUAAAGCACUUUCAGCGGGGAGGAAGGCGUUAAGGUUAAUAACCUUGGCGAUUGACGUUACCCGCAGAAGAAGCACCGGCUAACUCCGUGCCAGCAGCCGCGGUAAUACGGAGGGUGCAAGCGUUAAUCGGAAUUACUGGGCGUAAAGCGCACGCAGGCGGUCUGUCAAGUCGGAUGUGAAAUCCCCGGGCUCAACCUGGGAACUGCAUUCGAAACUGGCAGGCUAGAGUCUUGUAGAGGGGGGUAGAAUUCCAAGUGUAGCGGUGAAAUGCGUAGAGAUCUGGAGGAAUACCGGUGGCGAAGGCGGCCCCCUGGACAAAGACUGACGCUCAGGUUCGAAAGCGUGGGGAGCAAACAGG
RNAcentral lists this ribosomal RNA (429 nucleotides) under Chloroflexota bacterium. Its description in RNAcentral is "Chloroflexi bacterium partial 16S ribosomal RNA". It matches the Rfam family "Bacterial small subunit ribosomal RNA", at positions 355 to 776 of the family's 1533-position model. The record is from RNAcentral. Lineage: Bacteria; Bacillati; Chloroflexota.